Long non-coding RNA from Gossypium arboreum, 962 nucleotides. RefSeq lists it as uncharacterized. The transcript is spliced from 2 exons. The record is from RefSeq and is a predicted model, not a curated record. Lineage: Eukaryota; Viridiplantae; Streptophyta; Magnoliopsida; Malvales; Malvaceae.
GUCUUUCUGGACUACACCCCGUAGGUAUAGUUCAAAACCAAAUUGCAUAAUGGGCUAUGUUCUCCUGCUGCUACGCCUAGCAGUUAUAAUUGCUAAAUUUGUUCUUGCAAAAAAUCGUCUGCUUUUAUCAUAUAAGACAAGAAAAGCUAAGCAUCUUUUGUUUGUUUUUCUUUUUGUUCGCACCUUUUGGAGAUGUAGCCCUUUCUUUGCGCUCCAUCUGCUUACUUGUUUCGUCAACACUCUAGAGCUUUCACCCAGUUUAUUUUGCUACAUUGUCUUCCUGAACCCUUUGCUUCCCCUCUUGUUUGUGUUUUUGAUUCACCCAUUUUAGCAUCCUUCUGUGUUUCUAUCUUGCUGCACUUUAUGGCUCCAGGCGACAAUCCUCGUCUAAAGGAGAAAAAGGACGACGAAGGGACCAGGCAUGUACCACCGUAGUUGCCACUCUCUAUUUUUUUCUAGGCUCGAUCACUUUGUCCUAUUGUUCUUAUCUUCACUAUUUUCCAUGCAAGGAAGGUCAAACUCCCUCUACCUAGUGCUCCGGUUCCUGAGAGCUGUUCUAAGAGAGGUGAAGGGUUGCUUUCGGUGGUCUACCUUGUCGUUGAAGGGUGAAGCAUGAAGCAGGAGGGGAACCAUUUCCAUUGGCUGGAGAAAUAUGGAAGGUUUUGUGAGUCCAGGGCUGGACUUCCUUUGUGACAUUUGAUGCAAGUAGGUACACCGAUGAUAAUGGCAUUGUUCUCAAACCAGAAAAUAUUCCAUUAGCCACUAAACUCUCACCCUCUCUAAUUAAACGACUGGAUUUUGGGCAUGCCAACUAUAUAAAACAGGGUAUUGUUCGUUGUAUUGUAUAAAGUGCAUCUCAAAGACAAGCUUUGGUCAGUGAUUUGUGUAAUGAAAAAGUUUGUCUUCGUGUUAAUUGGGGAAAUUUUCAAUGGCAUAGAAAGUUUGGUUAGUGAUUUGUGCAA